CCCGCCCGUCACAUCACGAAAGUCGGUUGCACUAGAAGUCGGUGCGCUAACCGCAAGGAGGCAGCUGACCACGGUGGGAUCAGCGACUGGGGUG
Molecule: ribosomal RNA, 94 nt
Filed under: uncultured bacterium
Lineage: Bacteria
Description: partial 16S ribosomal RNA
Source: RNAcentral